ACAACAACAAAAUCCCCUCAACAACACGAAGAACUCACACAAGAGUUCAUAACAUCACGCAUACUCUCAACCAACAAUAGAAAAUCGACAAGAUCCAAGAUGAGAGAGCUAAAGUACAGAGAGAAUUUUUAACUCAAAGGAAAGCUGCGUAAAAUGAGAGCCUCCGAACCCUAGGCAUUUUAGUUUCUUUUAUAUGAAAGGAACAAAUCAU
Molecule: long non-coding RNA, 211 nt
Filed under: Olea europaea (common olive)
Lineage: Eukaryota; Viridiplantae; Streptophyta; Magnoliopsida; Lamiales; Oleaceae
Description: long non-coding RNA (OEUR_LNC004602)
Source: RNAcentral